UGUGGAAACAGCCCCCCCUGCCCCCCAGCUGUCAGUUUGGGAGAGGGCAGCCCGUCACGCAUGCACCUGCGAAGCAGACGCUGCCCACGCCGGUGCCCACUCAGCUGAGCUGCGCAGCUGGAGCAGGUAGACCGCGGGACGGCGCGACGAGGCUGAGAGACUGGCUGACGGAAGAGCAAAGGCAGCAAUCCUGUUUCUGUUUCCGUCAGGGUGCUCCUGGCGCCCGAACUGAGGCGGAACGUUCGACAGCGCUCGGAGAGCCAAGCUGCCGAAAGUUAGGGGUCAAAAUGGGCGUCUUUCUGAGCGGUGUCCCCUUCUGGGUCGAGAGGCCUCGUCUGACAAAGACAGAGAGCGCACAAUCGCGGUUUACAGUAUUGGCUGUUUCCAGAGGUCAGUGGUCAAGGAAAGAGACUGGAAGCUUACGGCGGCUGGACAAGCCCGCGACAGACUCCAGAGAGGUAUGGUGGCGCGAGCGUCGUCUGUGAAGGAACGCUGUCUGUGAAGGAGAGUCGUCUGUGAAGGAGCGCUGUCUGUGAAGGAGAGUUGUCUGUGAAAAAGAGUUGUCUGUGAAAGAGAGUUGUCUGUGAAGGAGAGCUGUCUGUGAAAGAGAGUCGUCUGUGAAGGAGCGCUCCCUGGGCACAGACAGAAUACUUCAGCGCCGCUCGUCUGAAAAAUGGCCGUCCCGUGACACGCAAGGCUCCGGAAUGUUCUCAGAUUAAUCUCAGACAGGAAGACAUUAACAGGACACGGCCAAUUUAACUUGUGUAAACCUGCGAAUACAGUCCACCGCCAAGGCGUCAUUUUUUAUAGUCUUUGCUUCCUCUGUUCACCCCAUAGGUACUGUACCAGUACAGUCAAGUUUAUAUAACCCACAUUCCUCUACCUUUUCUUCCUAUCAUUAUUAUAUAAACCGCACUCUUUGAAAACACUCGCACGCGUCCUGGUGUCUGGGAUCUCUGUCUGAAAGCAUUUGCUCGUAAGUCAUUAGCAGACAGCACACCGGGUCCCUCUUGGCACGCAGGUUUUUGAGGCCAAAUUUGUGCAGAGGGGAGAAACUUAAUUUGACCUCGAUAUUAAGCAGUUACAAGAGUUAUAGUUUUUUAUUACAGUUAGCGGCUGAAGCUCGGCUGAAGUUAAUUGAAUUGAAAGGGGGGAGCUCCCGGAGAGCGCGCGCGCUGAAUUCUGAUGCUACAGAGAGCCCCGGAGCGAUGCGCUGAAAUACCGCGAAUAAUUCACGGGCUCUGGCGUUACCAUUACCGUCACGCACGCGACUGCGAAAAUAACGACGAAUUAUACCGCGUUUGUGUCCGUUUGGAUUUUUUUACUUUACGCUUAGAUUUUUUUUUUCCUCGACUGUGCUUA
This is a long non-coding RNA of Anguilla rostrata (American eel), 1362 nucleotides long. RefSeq lists it as uncharacterized. The transcript is spliced from 3 exons. Lineage: Eukaryota; Metazoa; Chordata; Actinopteri; Anguilliformes; Anguillidae. The record is from RefSeq and is a predicted model, not a curated record.